AUAGUCGCGAUGAACAAAAGGAGUAACAACCGUUUUGCUUAAAGAGACUUCGUGGUUGGUGUAAACGAAGAGAAAACGUUGUGAAAGCUGUUUGGGAGCAAAAGGUCAGUCGGCCAUAACGACAUUUGAGGGCUAGGAUUUUUCCUAGAACUAAGGUGGUACCGCGUAGAUUAUACGUCCUUAGG
Molecule: non-coding RNA, 185 nt
Filed under: Mycoplasmatota bacterium
Lineage: Bacteria; Bacillati; Mycoplasmatota
Description: Tenericutes bacterium T-box sequence
Rfam family: T-box leader
About the family: Uncharged tRNA acts as the effector for transcription antitermination of genes in the T-box leader family.
Source: RNAcentral